GUGUUUUUCCAAGCACUAGUACCAGCAUCUAAGUCUACCUCCGCAGCAAAUUCUGGUCAGUAUUUGAUUAAUUGUUUGGCUCACAGGUUGAUUAGUCAGCCUCUGCUACAGGUGCUGCAAAGGGAAAUUAUGUCUAGCAUAAGACACAAUCUCUGACAUUGAAGAACUUACAAUUGAAUUGAGGAAAUAACAUAUCUCCGGACAACUUAACAAGGCAGCUGCUUCCAUCUCCAUGUCAACUUCAUUCUUUCUUACUGCAGAUCAUCUGUCAAUUCAUAGUUCAUAUCAGGACCACCAUCAACUCUUACAUGCCAUAUGCAACACAGAGGAGACAUUCCUAUUUUUCUACAUCCUUUCUAAAAAGCACUGGUAAAGAAUCCUGAUAGUCACAAUUAGAUGUUUACCCACAGAUUAUUAGUUCUGUAUAUGAAGAUGCAGUUGGCCAAUAUAGAUAUGAUCACUGAGACUCCA
Homo sapiens (human) is the source of this 471-nucleotide long non-coding RNA. The record is from Ensembl. NCBI's taxonomy places the organism in Eukaryota, Metazoa, Chordata, Mammalia, Primates, Hominidae.